RNAcentral lists this ribosomal RNA (458 nucleotides) under uncultured bacterium. Its description in RNAcentral is "bacterial SSU rRNA". It matches the Rfam family "Bacterial small subunit ribosomal RNA", at positions 340 to 786 of the family's 1533-position model. The record is from RNAcentral.
UACGGAAGGCAGCAGUGGGGAAUAUUGGACAAUGGGCGCAAGCCUGAUCCAGCCAUGCCGCGUGUGUGAAGAAGGCCUUCGGGUUGUAAAGCACUUUUGUCCGGAAAGAAAAGCUUAGGGUUAAUAACCUUGAGUCAUGACGGUACCGGAAGAAUAAGCACCGGCUAACUUCGUGCCAGCAGCCGCGGUAAUACGAAGGGUGCAAGCGUUACUCGGAAUUACUGGGCGUAAAGCGUGCGUAGGCGGUUUUGUUAAAGUCUGAUGUGAAAGCCCUGGGCUCAACCUGGGAAUGGCAUUGGAAACUGGCUUACUAGAGUGCGGUAGAGGGGUGUGGAAUUCCCGGUGUAGCAGUGAAAUGCGUAGAUAUCGGGAGGAACAUCUGUGGCGAAGGCGACACCCUGGACCAGCACUGACACUGAGGGCACGAAAGCGUGGGGAGCAAACAGGGAUUAGAUACC